GACGAACGCUGGCGGCGUGCCUAAUACAUGCAAGUAGAACGCACAGUUUAUACCGUAGCUUGCUACACCAUAGACUGUGAGUUGCGAACGGGUGAGUAACGCGUAGGUAACCUGCCUGGUAGCGGGGGAUAACUAUUGGAAACGAUAGCUAAUACCGCAUAAUAUUAAUUAUUGCAUGAUAAUUGAUUGAAAGAUGCAACUGCAUCACUACCAGAUGGACCUGCGUUGUAUUAGCUAGUAGGUGAGGUAACGGCUCACCUAGGCGACGAUACAUAGCCGACCUGAGAGGGUGAUCGGCCACACUGGGACUGAGACACGGCCCAGACUCCUACGGGAGGCAGCAGUAGGGAAUCUUCGGCAAUGGACGAAAGUCUGACCGAGCAACGCCGCGUGAGUGAAGAAGGUUUUCGGAUCGUAAAGCUCUGUUGUAAGAGAAGAACGGGUGUGAGAGUGGAAAGUUCACACUGUGACGGUAUCUUACCAGAAAGGGACGGCUAACUACGUGC
Molecule: ribosomal RNA, 506 nt
Filed under: uncultured bacterium
Lineage: Bacteria
Description: partial 16S ribosomal RNA
Rfam family: Bacterial small subunit ribosomal RNA
Source: RNAcentral